CUACCAUGCAAGUCGAGCGGCAGCGGAAAGUACCUUGCUACUUUGCCGGCGAGCGGCGGACGGGUGAGUAAUGUCUGGGAAACUGCCUGAUGGAGGGGGAUAACUACUGGAAACGGUAGCUAAUACCGCAUAACGUCGCAAGACCAAAGAGGGGGACCUUCGGGCCUCUUGCCAUCAGAUGUGCCCAGAUGGGAUUAUCUAGUAGGUGGGGUAACGGCUCACCUAGGCGACGAUCCCUAGCUGGUCUGAGAGGAUGACCACCCACACUGGAACUGACACACGGUCCACACUCCUACGGGAGGCAGCAGUGGGGAAUAUUGCACAGUGGGCGCAAGCCUGAUGCACCCAUGCCGCGUGUAUGAAAAAGGCCUUCGGGUUGUAAAGUACUUUCAGCGGGGAGGAAGGUGUUGAGGUUAAUAACCUCAGCGAUUGACGUUACCCGCAAAAAAAGCACCGGCUAACUCCGUGCCAGCAGCCGCGGUAAUACGGAGGGUGCAAGCGUUAAUCGGAAUUACUGGGCGUAAAGCGCACGCAGGCGGUCUGUCAAGUCAGAUGUGAAAUCCCCGGGCUCAACCUGGGAACUGCAUUCAAAACUGGCAGGCUAGAGUCUUGUAGAGGGGGGUAGAAUUCCGGGUGUAGCGGUGAUAUGCGUAGAGAUCUGGAGGAAUACCGGUGGCGAACGCGGCCCCCUGCACAAAGACUGACUCUCAUGUGCGAAAGCGUGGGGAGCACACAAGAUUAUAUACCCUGGUACUCCACGCCGUACACGAUGUCGACUUGGA
This 782-nucleotide ribosomal RNA is filed under the name Enterobacter sp. enrichment culture clone DWSRK100. Its description in RNAcentral is "bacterial SSU rRNA". It matches the Rfam family "Bacterial small subunit ribosomal RNA", at positions 49 to 821 of the family's 1533-position model. Lineage: Bacteria; Pseudomonadati; Pseudomonadota; Gammaproteobacteria; Enterobacterales; Enterobacteriaceae. The record is from RNAcentral.